RNAcentral lists this long non-coding RNA (2001 nucleotides) under Triticum aestivum (bread wheat). Its description in RNAcentral is "long non-coding RNA (TAES_LNC009201)". The record is from RNAcentral. Lineage: Eukaryota; Viridiplantae; Streptophyta; Magnoliopsida; Poales; Poaceae.
GAUGUUGCUGCUUUUGGUCACGCAGGUGCACGCACGCGUCCCUGCUCCUCUGGUGGACAAGGUCGGUUCCGAUCUGGAUGAGCAGCAACUGCUGCAGGUGGACGAGGCACGAUCCCUCAUGGCUCGUCCCUCCUCCUACUCCCCCUGAACGUGGUGAGCUCCACCCUCUCUUCCUACCCCUGCACAUCUAUCUUAUCUAGCCAAUUUGAUUGCAAUUUAUCACAAAGUGCCAAGCAGCAGGGCUCGAUCAUCCGCUAAAAAUCUAUUUGGCAUUUGUGCUUCUCUUAUUGUUAUACCUGAAUGCUUAUUGCCUUCCAGCUCUAUGUUUCAUGUGCCAAUGGCCACUGGUGUUAAUUGUUUGGUCAGUGUGCGCUUUAAUUUUCAUAAAUUGCGAAAACAAUAUAUGUUUACCUAUUUUGGAUUUUGUAUCCUAUCAGCAUAAGGGAUAAUAUUUGUCAUCUGCUCUCAUAUUCUGAUAUACUUCCUAUGUUAGUUUGCACUUCCUCCAGUCAAAGUGUUUAAUGUAUGCUUGGCUGCAUGUUACUUGUAUUGAACGUAGAUGAAUGGUUGCAAGGCGUAGUAGCAGUAGGUCGGUUUAGUCCUAGCCUUGGAUCUAGCACGAUUCAUCCAAAGUAGUUUUUUGUUGUCUUCCUGGUUCUAUUUCUCUGUCAAGAAAGGGACAAACUUUUGUUUCUUUCUGUCCAGGAGGAGCUUGGAUCUAGCUACAUCCUUGGAAGGAUAUAUUUCUGUCCUAUGUUCUUUGGUUGGUAUUUCUUUUUUCCUAUCCUAGAGUGUAAAACACGAAUCUCGAGUCUGUGCUAUGAUGGUUAGUGUGGAUCUUGCCAAUUGUUUUUUGGAUAAACUAAGUGGAUCUGGUCCAAGAUUAAGGAUAAAAUAAUUUUAGAAAUCUCAGGUUUGGUGUCAUUGCAGACUCCACUAUUCAACCUUAGGUUAAUGUUGGUGGGUGGUACCAAAUUAGGUGCACACUUGUGGCAUGUUAUAUGGUCUAGGUAGGUUCUAAGGAAGGGGAUUGUUGGACAGAUGGUUGUGCAAGCUUUCUCUUACAAUUAGGUUUACUUCAUGUGUCUUGUUGUAUGCUGGUGCCCCAUUAUGGCUUCAGGAUGAAUCUUCUUUUCAUAUUGGCCUCAAUUAUAUGCUGGCGCCCCAUUAUGGCUUCAAGAUGUGGAUGCUUGCUUAGGAUCAAAUUUACUUCCAGCUUUGUCUUGGCCUUUUCCUGAAUCUUGUUCAACUGUUCAUUGCAACAUGGGAUAUACCGUGUCUCUCUUCCAAUGCAACCUGCAAUUUUUUUAGGAAAAUUGUUCUAAUACUCUUUUUUUCCAUUUCUAAUACUCUUUUUAGGCCCACAUAUGCUGGUUUCUAAUGCUCAUUUUUUCCUUCUUUUCGUGUUCAAGGAAACAAAUCGAGUGCUGGAGUGAAUCAUCUAAUUCAGGGACGAAACACAAAUCAGAUUGUGCUUAUGUCGCUACCUCCUACGUCUACAGCAGUACAAUUUCAGGUCCGUAUAUAUGGAUCAACCUAUUAUUUGUACCAUGUCACUGAUUCAUACUGGUUGUUAGAAUUUAGUUGCUUGUCAAAUGUUCAUUGUAUUAAGAAGUAUGAUGUAGCGUCUGUAUCCAAUGCAACUUGGCUAUAGCUGGCUCUGCCUGGUGAAAGCAUUCUUCCAUGCUAAGUAGCCAGUCAUUUUGCAUUUAGUUUUGUCAUAAUAUUAAUUCAGGUUCUACAGUCUGCUAGGUCAUGUUUUUUAUUUACUUAAGUUCCCAUCUAAUUGACUGAAUUAGUCACGUAUGGGAGAGCAGUCUGAAAGUUAUAACAGGGUAUGCAAUAAUAGUGUGAUUUAUGUUGCUGGAAGUACUGCCAAUGCUUUUGUCAUUUUUCAGGUUUGCUCUCGGUUCUGUUGGCAAGGGAUCUUUGGUCAUGUAUCAAUUGUAGAAUGGCAAUAGUUGAGCAUCAAGGGACAACCGAAAUUACUAUGAUGAUAUU